RNAcentral lists this ribosomal RNA (1111 nucleotides) under uncultured bacterium. Its description in RNAcentral is "bacterial SSU rRNA". It matches the Rfam family "Bacterial small subunit ribosomal RNA", at positions 9 to 1106 of the family's 1533-position model. The record is from RNAcentral.
GAGUUUGAUCCUGGCUCAGAACGAACGCUGGCGGCGUGGAUAAGACAUGCAAGUCGAACGCGAUUUUCUCGGUUAGCAAUAACUGAGGAGAUUGAGUGGCGAAUGGGUGCGUAACACGUGGGAAUUUAUCCGGAAGUGGGGGAUAGCUCGUCGAAAGGCGAAUUAAUACCGCAUAUGCCUGUAAGGGCAAAGUGGGGGACCGUAAGGCCUCACGCUAUCGGAGGAGCCCGCGCCCUAUCAGCUAGUUGGUGAGGUAAUGGCUCACCAAGGCUUAGACGGGUAGCUGGUCUGAGAGGACGACCAGCCACACUGGAACUGAGACACGGUCCAGACACCUACGGGUGGCAGCAGUCGAGGAUUUUUCUCAAUGGGGGCAACCCUGAAGGAGCGACGCCGCGUGGAGGAUGAAGGGCUUCGGCUCGUAAACUCCUGUCACCGACGAACAAGACAUCCGGAUUAAUAACUCGGAUGUUUGAUGGUAGUCGGAGAGGAAGGGGCGGCUAACUCUGUGCCAGCAGCCGCGGUGAUACAGAGGCCCCAAGCGUUGUUCGGAUUUACUGGGCGUAAAGGGUGUGUAGGGGGUUAGGUUAGUCUGACGUGAAAUACCGUUGCUCAACAACGGAACUGCGUCGGAUACUGCCUAGCUAGAGGUUCGGAGAUGAGGGCGGAAUUCUCGGUGUAGCGGUGAAGUGCGUAGAUAUCGGGAAGAACACCAGUGGCGAAGGCGCUCUGCUGGGCCAUAACUGACGCUCAUGGACGAAAGCCAGGGGAGCGAAAGGGAUUAGAUACCCCUGUAGUCCUGGCCGUAAACGAUGAACACUAGGUGUCGGGGGAAUCGACCCCCUCGGUGUCGUAGCCAACGCGUUAUGUGUUCCGCCUGGGGAGUACGCACGCAAGUGUGAAACUCAAAGGAAUUGACGGGGGCCCGCACAAGCGGUGGAGUAUGUGGUUUAAUUCGAUGCAACGCGAAGAACCUUACCAGGGUUUGACAUCCUGCGAAUUCCUUGGAAACUUGGAAGUGCCUUCGGGAGCGCAGUGACAGGUGGUGCAUGGCUGUCGUCAGCUCGUGUCGUGAGAUGUUGGGUUAAGUCCCGCAACGAGCGCAACCCAA